ACGACAAAACGGGUGAAAAACCCGUUCGCCGAAAGACCAAGGGUUCCAGUCCAACGUUAAUCGGGGCUGGGUGAGUCGACCCCUAAGGCGAGGCCGAAAGGCGUAGUCGAUGGGAAAAUGGUUAAUAUUCCAUUACUUCUGUGUAAUGCGAUGAGAGGACGGAGAAGGCUAAAUCAGCCUGGCGUUGGUUGUCCAGGUGAAAGGAUGUAGGCAUGUAUCUUAGGCAAAUCCGGGGUACUCUAUGCUGAGAUCUGAUAGCAAGCUGUACUUGUACAGCGAAGUGGUUGAUGCCAUGCUUCCAGGAAAAGUCUCUAAGCUUCAGUUACACAGGAAUCGUACCCGAAACCGACACAGGUGGUCAGGUCGAGUAGACCAAGGCGCUUGAGAGAACUCUGCUGAAGGAACUAGGCAAAAUGGUACCGUAACUUCGGGAGAAGGUACGCUGUUGUUGGUGAUGGAACUCGCUUCCUGAGCUGACGACAGCCGCAGAAACCAGGCCGCUGCAACUGUUUAUUAAAAACAUAGCACUCUGCAAACACGAAAGUGGACGUAUAGGGUGUGAUGCCUGCCCGGUGCUGGAAGGUUAAUUGAUGGGGUUAGCGUAAGCGAAGCUCUUGAUCGAAGCCCCAGUAAACGGCGGCCGUAACUAUAACGGUCCUAAGGUAGCGAAAUUCCUUGUCGGGUAAGUUCCGACCUGCACGAAUGGCAUAAUGAUGGCGGCGCUGUCUCCAGCAGAGGCUCAGUGAAAUCGAAAUCGCUGUGAAGAUGCAGUGUACCCGCGGCUAGACGGAAAGACCCCGUGAACCUUUACUGCAGCUUGACACUGAACUUUGACCUUACUUGUGUAGGAUAGGUGGGAGGCUUUGAAGCUGGAACGCUAGUUCCAGUGGAGCCGUCCUUGAAAUACCACCCUGGUAAUGUUGAGGUUCUAACUCUGUCCCGUGAUCCGGGACGAGGACCGUGUCUGGUGGGUAGUUUGACUGGGGCGGUCUCCUCCUAAAGAGUAACGGAGGAGUACGAAGGUGCGCUCAGCGUGGUCGGAAAUCACGCGUAGAGUAUAAAGGCAAAAGCGCGCUUAACUGCGAGACCCACAAGUCGAGCAGGUACGAAAGUAGGUCUUAGUGAUCCGGUGGUUCUGUAUGGAAGGGCCAUCGCUCAACGGAUAAAAGGUACUCUGGGGAUAACAGGCUGAUACCGCCCAAGAGUUCAUAUCGACGGCGGUGUUUGGCACCUCGAUGUCGGCUCAUCUCAUCCUGGGGCUGAAGCAGGUCCCAAGGGUAUGGCUGUUCGCCAUUUAAAGAGGUACGCGAGCUGGGUUUAGAACGUCGUGAGACAGUUCGGUCCCUAUCUACCGUGGGCGCUGGAAAUUUGAGAGGAUCUGCUCCUAGUACGAGAGGACCAGAGUGGACGAACCUCUGGUGUACCGGUUGUGACGCCAGUCGCAUCGCCGGGUAGCUAUGUUCGGAAGGGAUAACCGCUGAAAGCAUCUAAGCGGGAAGCCUACCUCAAGAUAAGAUUUCCCUAGGACUUUAUGUCCUCUAAAGAGCCGUUCGAGACUAGGACGUUGAUAGGUUGGAUGUGGAAGCAUAGUGAUAUGUGAAGCUGACCAAUACUAAUUGCUCGUGAGGCUUGACUAU
Molecule: ribosomal RNA, 1637 nt
Filed under: Acinetobacter baumannii
Lineage: Bacteria; Pseudomonadati; Pseudomonadota; Gammaproteobacteria; Moraxellales; Moraxellaceae
Description: partial 23S ribosomal RNA
Rfam family: Bacterial large subunit ribosomal RNA
Source: RNAcentral